UGGGCCUUUCUUUCUGGGGAACCUCAUGGCCUUCACUGGCUGUGGGGGGAACCAGGACUUUUACUGUGAAAAAAUUAGAGUGUUCAAAGCAGGCCUUUGCUCGAAUACAUUAGCAUGGAAUAAUAGAAUAGGACGUGCGGUUCUAUUUUGUUGGUUUCUAGGACCGCCGUAAUGAUUAAUAGGGAUAGUCGGGGGCGUCAGUAUUCAGCUGUCAGAGGUGAAAUUCUUGGAUUUGCUGAAGACUAACUACUGCGAAAGCAUUCGCCAAGGAUGUUUUCAUUAAUCAGGGAACGAAAGUUAGGGGAUCGAAGACGAUCAGAUACCGUCGUAGUCUUAACCAUAAACUAUGCCGACUAGGGAUCGGACGGGUUUCUAUGAUGACCCGCA
This 387-nucleotide ribosomal RNA is filed under the name Talaromyces marneffei. Its description in RNAcentral is "SSU rRNA". It matches the Rfam family "Eukaryotic small subunit ribosomal RNA", at positions 689 to 1080 of the family's 1831-position model. The record is from RNAcentral. Lineage: Eukaryota; Fungi; Ascomycota; Eurotiomycetes; Eurotiales; Trichocomaceae.